This is a long non-coding RNA of Myotis myotis, 1723 nucleotides long. RefSeq lists it as uncharacterized. NCBI's taxonomy places the organism in Eukaryota, Metazoa, Chordata, Mammalia, Chiroptera, Vespertilionidae. The transcript is spliced from 2 exons. The record is from RefSeq and is a predicted model, not a curated record.
GGUGUCACUUUUCUUUCCGUAGGAGGCAGAGUCAUCUGCAGAAUGGAGACUGCAAGCCCACGGAAGGGACACCAGCAGAGCUGGGGUGCUGGGCCGCGGCAUUGCCCGGACGCUGCUUCUCUGCUGUCUCCCCAGCAGGAUGGGCCCCGAGAGCGGGCCUGGCCUGUCCUGCUGACCACUCACCCCCAGCACCGUGAGCAGGCCCGGCUCGGGGCACACGUGUGGAGCGUGUGAACGAUGAGUGAGCACAGCAAACAGACCUCCGGCGCAAGAGGUCGUGUGGGCCCUUUCUGGGACAGCGUAGCGGCCAGGACGUAGGUGAAGACAGGGAGCCGAUCUAGUACUGACUGUUGGUGAGCUUGCCUGGAGGUGAACCCGGCAGACACGGUCUUUCCUGAUGGUCUUGUCAUCUCCGAGGCCCUGUCACCAAGGACACACGCCUUCGCUUUCUCCAUCCGGUCCCAGGAGGGGCAGCGGCAGCGGGUCAGCUGGUGGCAGGAGCCUCGGGGCCAGGCUUCUCCGCGGACACGGGCAUCGGGUCUGGCACCAGCUGUUUCUGCGGGGAUCCUGGGGGAGUCCGGGGGCCCCGGGGGUUUGGGAUGAGGGCGAGAACGCAGAGGCCUCUGGGGAGAAUGAGAGUGAGCAGCGGGGGGGGGGAGCAGGAUGAGCUGGAAGCGCACAGGUGGGAUGGCUCUCCACACUCAGGAACUCCCGCUCAGGUCAUGCCCCGGACCUGCGGGCACGCUGAGCUCCUUCCUGGGUCCCGCUCACGCCCUGCCAGCCGCCCUCCAUGUCGCUGCCCUGCAUGUCACUGUCCGAGCUGCUCCCGCUACAGGCCCCAUCGCGCAGCUUGCGGGGGACUCGUGCUGCUCCCCGUGGCUUUGUGAGUGCAGACCCACUGCUCCUUGAGGAUCUUCUUAAGCAAAUCCCCUGUGAGCUUGGCGCUCGUGUUUCCGGUGGAAAACUGAUGCCGUGCUAAAAAGAUGCCCUGGCCCACUCCAUCCCCGUUCACCUGUCAGGUGUCACUCCUGCCACGUGGGUCCACGGGGAGGGGCCGGGUGCGUACAGAGCGGCAGGCCGAGCACAGGUGCCCCCGCGGCUCUGAAAGGGAGCCUUCAAGCCUCUGGAAGGAGAGGCUGGGCAGGGGCCACCCACACUGUCCGCCCGCGGAGCUGGCAAAGGGUGUGACUGUCCCCUGAGCUGGCAGCAGGCACCUGGUGGAGUGAGAGGAGGAGGAGGACGGGACUGGCCACGUCCCCACCAUUGUCAGCUGUGCGCUCCUGCCUCUGCCUGCAGACUUCCUCCCCUUGGCCGGCGGCUGACCCAGCUGAGCCCACACCAGUGGAGAUCCGGACGCCCUGGUCUCUCAGCAGAGCUGGCCUCAGGCUGAGGGCCAGGAGGGGCGGCAAGGCCCAGCCCCCAGCCAUCCACACAGUGGGUCCCCCAAAAUGCUGGCUGCAUGGUGUUGAGAUCAACAUAGAGGUCAACAAAAUGCUGGCUGCAUGGUGUUGAGAUCAACAUAGAGGUCAACAAAAUGCUGGCUGCACGGUGUUGAGAUCAACAUGGAGAACCUGACGUGCGUGACCUCUGACUUCAGUCAGCACAGUGUGGUUCUCAGAAUCUGAAUUUCAGCAACGUUUAUCAGCUGUGUAUGCGCCAAGGAUGUACUAUUGAUGGCAAUGAACAAUGUAUAUUUAUCAAAUAAUUAAAUGUCUGGUUGCUA